AGGGCUAUAGCUCAGUUAGGUAGAGCACCUCCUACGGUUCGAGUCCGUAUAGCCCUA
This 57-nucleotide transfer RNA is filed under the name Anthurium andraeanum (oilcloth-flower). RNAcentral's name for it is "tRNA-Ile". It matches the Rfam family "tRNA". Rfam says of the family: Transfer RNA (tRNA) molecules are approximately 80 nucleotides in length. Their secondary structure includes four short double-helical elements and three loops (D, anti-codon, and T loops). Further hydrogen bonds mediate the characteristic L-shaped molecular structure. tRNAs have two regions of fundamental functional importance: the anti-codon, which is responsible for specific mRNA codon recognition, and the 3' end, to which the tRNAs corresponding amino acid is attached (by aminoacyl-tRNA synthetases). tRNAs cope with the degeneracy of the genetic code in two manners: having more than one tRNA (with a specific anti-codon) for a particular amino acid; and 'wobble' base-pairing, i.e. permitting non-standard base-pairing at the 3rd anti-codon position. The record is from RNAcentral. Lineage: Eukaryota; Viridiplantae; Streptophyta; Magnoliopsida; Alismatales; Araceae.